GCAAGUCGAGGGGUAACAGGGAUUGCUUGCAAUCCGCUGACGACCGGCGCACGGGUGCAUAACGCGUAUACAAUUUGCCUUAUACAGGGGGAUAGCCUUUAGAAAUGAAGAUUAAUACCCCAUGGUCUAUAGAUAUGGCGUCAUAACUAUAGUAAAGAUUUAUCGGUAUAAGAUGAGUAUGCGUUCUAUUAGCUAGAUGGUAAGGUAACGGCUUACCAUGGCAACGAUAGAUAGGGGUCCUGAGAGGGAGAUC
Molecule: ribosomal RNA, 253 nt
Filed under: uncultured bacterium
Lineage: Bacteria
Description: partial 16S ribosomal RNA
Rfam family: Bacterial small subunit ribosomal RNA
Source: RNAcentral